CUGAUUGAUGGUGCUUGCACCUGAUUGACGUUGGAUCACCAGUGAGUGGCGGACGGGUGAGUAACACGUAGGUAACCUGCCCCGGAGCGGGGGAUAACAUUUGGAAACAGAUGCUAAUACCGCAUAACAACAAAAGCCACAUGGCUUUUGUUUGAAAGAUGGCUUUGGCUAUCACUCUGGGAUGGACCUGCGGUGCAUUAGCUAGUUGGUAAGGUAACGGCUUACCAAGGCGAUGAUGCAUAGCCGAGUUGAGAGACUGAUCGGCCACAAUGGAACUGAGACACGGUCCAUACUCCUACGGGAGGCAGCAGUAGGGAAUCUUCCACAAUGGGCGCAAGCCUGAUGGAGCAACACCGCGUGAGUGAAGAAGGGUUUCGGCUCGUAAAGCUCUGUUGUUGGAGAAGAACGUGCGUGAGAGUAACUGUUCACGCAGUGACGGUAUCCAACCAGAAAGUCACGGCUAACUACGUGCCAGCAGCCGCGGUAAUACGUAGGUGGCAAGCGUUAUCCGGAUUUAUUGGGCGUAAAGCGAGCGCAGGCGGUUGCUUAGGUCUGAUGUGAAAGCCUUCGGCUUAACCGAAGAAGUGCAUCGGAAACCGGGCGACUUGAGUGC
This 613-nucleotide ribosomal RNA is filed under the name Limosilactobacillus reuteri. RNAcentral's name for it is "bacterial SSU rRNA". It matches the Rfam family "Bacterial small subunit ribosomal RNA", at positions 62 to 649 of the family's 1533-position model. Lineage: Bacteria; Bacillati; Bacillota; Bacilli; Lactobacillales; Lactobacillaceae. The record is from RNAcentral.